This 229-nucleotide ribosomal RNA is filed under the name uncultured bacterium. RNAcentral describes it as "partial 16S ribosomal RNA". It matches the Rfam family "Bacterial small subunit ribosomal RNA", at positions 568 to 796 of the family's 1533-position model. The record is from RNAcentral.
CGUGUAGGUGGUUGGAUAAGUUGGAUGUGAAAGCCCUCGGCUCAACCGAGGAAGUGCAUCCAAAACUGUUCAGCUAGAGGACGAGAGAGGGAGGUGGAAUUCCUAGUGUAGAGGUGAAAUUCGUAGAUAUUAGGAGGAAUACCGGUGGCGAAGGCGGCCUCCUGGAUCGACCCUGACACUGAGACGCGAAAGCGUGGGUAGCAAACAGGAUUAGAUACCCUGGUAGUCC